CCGCUGUCUGUCAUGUCUCCUCCGGGCGCGGGGUGCUAACUGAGACACUGGCGGGGUGGGGAGAGCCAGAGGUGCGGGGAGGGACCGGGAGAUGGGUGUUUGGUGAGCUCUUCCUCUCUCUCCCCCCUUCUUCCCACCCCUUCCCCCUUCUCGCUCUCUGUCUCUCAAGGACGAGGUGAAAUCCCUUGGCUGGUCAUGAGGCGGCUUCAGAGACAAACAACACAAUGCGAGUGCAAAUAACAAAAGGGGGAAAAAAAAAAGAAAAGAAAAAAAAAAGGAGAGGGAGACCGGGAACAAUGGGGGAGGAGAGGCUCGCCGCGCCGCGCCUGGCCGCCGCCGGCACCCCGGCAGGCAGCGGCAGCAGCAGGAGGAGGAGGAGGCGGAGGAGGAAGGCGAUAUGGUGACAGCGGGGAGGGGGCUGCGCGGGGAGUCCCCCCGGCUCGGCGGGGCUGCCUCACACCGUCCCCGACCUCCUCCCGCCGGUGAGGAGCCCAUGGGCCAAGGCUGAGCACCAGACAGCCCCAGGACGUGCUGGGAUACAGGGAGAGCUCCUGGCAGGGACACCUGAGGUUCAGCUCCUGCUGGCACCAGCUCAGGGCCCUGUGCAGAAGAGUCAAAGCAGGAAAGAAGGCCAGAAGAGAAGAUGGCAGGCCAUGAGGAUGAAAUCAAAAUAGAAGCAAGAAGUUAAGUGGCACACUGGGACACUCAGAAAAUUAUCUUUUAGACAAAUAAAUUUUUUUUUUAAUCCUCACUAAGAA
Molecule: long non-coding RNA, 758 nt
Organism: Passer domesticus (house sparrow)
Lineage: Eukaryota; Metazoa; Chordata; Aves; Passeriformes; Passeridae
Exons: 2
Source: RefSeq, a predicted model, not a curated record